This 584-nucleotide ribosomal RNA is filed under the name uncultured fungus. Its description in RNAcentral is "eukaryotic LSU rRNA". The stretch from base 144 to 297 matches the Rfam family "5.8S ribosomal RNA". Lineage: Eukaryota; Fungi. The record is from RNAcentral.
ACCUUCACACUUUUUGUGCACUUCUCAUGGGAUCAAGUUGUGGUAUGAAAUACAACCGUCAGCUGUUCUCGUGUGUUUUUCAAAAACAUACAUCUGUUUGUUCAAGGAAUGUCAUACGUUUGUGCAUCAUUGCAUGUAAAUACAACUUUCAGCAACGGAUCUCUUGGCUCUCGCAUCGAUGAAGAACGCAGCGAAAUGCGAUAAGUAAUGUGAAUUGCAGAAUUCAGUGAAUCAUCGAAUCUUUGAACGCACCUUGCGCUCCUUGGUAUUCCGAGGAGCAUGCCUGUUUGAGUGUCAUGGUAUUCUCAAAUCUCUUGUGUUUCUUUUUUUAUUUUUAAAAAAAGAAUACAAGUAGUUUUGGACUUGGAGGUGAAUUGUUGGCUUUUGUCAGCUCCUCUGAAAUGCAUUAGCUUGAAAUUAUACCAAGCAUGGUUCAGCGUGAUAAACACUGCGCUGCUUUGUAUUGGUUUUUAUUUUUAUGUUUCAAGCUUAGAAUUGUUCCUGGCAAGGAACUCACUUUGGACAUCUGACCUCAAAUCAGGUAGGACUACCCGCUGAACUUAAGCAUAUCAAUAAGCGGAGGA